RNAcentral lists this ribosomal RNA (1906 nucleotides) under human gut metagenome. RNAcentral describes it as "bacterial LSU rRNA". It matches the Rfam family "Bacterial large subunit ribosomal RNA", at positions 592 to 2481 of the family's 2925-position model. The record is from RNAcentral.
UGUGACGGCGUGCCUUUUGUAGAAUGAGCCAGCGAGUCGCUGGCGCGGGGCGAGGUUAACCGAAAGGGAGCCGGAGCGAAAGCGAGCCUUAACAGGGCGACUUGAGUCCCGCGCCGCGGACGCGAAGCCGGGUGAGCUAUCCGUGGGCAGGCUGAAGCGGGGGUAAGACCCCGUGGAGGGCCGAACGCACGUCGGUUGAAAACGGCGGCGAUGACCUGCGGAUAGGGGUGAAAGGCCAAUCAAACCCGGAGAUAUCUCGUUCUCCCCGAAAUAGCUUUAGGGCUAGCGUCGCGCGUUCACCGCCGGAGGUAGAGCACCGGAUGGACGAGGGGGCUUCGCCGCCUACCGAAUCCAACCGAACUCCGAAUGCCGGCGGCCCAGAGCGCGGCAGUCAGAGCAUGUGGGCUAAGCUGUGUGCUCGAGAGGGAAACAGCCCGGACCGCCCGCUAAGGUCCCCAAGUUCCAGCCGAGUGGCAAAGGAUGUGCGUCCGCCCAGACAACCAGGAUGUUGGCUUAGAAGCAGCCAUCCAUUCAAAGAGUGCGUAACAGCUCACUGGUCGAGUGGACAUGCGCCGACAAUACACGGGGCUAAGCUGGACACCGAAGCGGCGGGAUUUUAAUUCAUUAGAAUCGGUAGGGGAGCUUCCCAUGGGCGGAGAAGCCGGAGGGCGACCGACGGUGGAGCGCAUGGGAGUGAGAAUGCUGGCAUGAGUAGCGAGAGACGAGAGAGUAACUCGUCCGCCGUGAACCCGAGGUUUCCUGGGCAAGGCUAAUCCUCCCAGGGUCAGUCGGGGGCUAAGGCGAGGCCGGGAGGCGUAGCCGACGCGCAGCAGGCAGACAUUCCUGCACCGCGCACGCGGCGCUACGACCGACGGGGCGACGGAUGGGGGUGGCUCGGCGGGGUUCUGGACGUCCCCGUGAUGGAGCGCGGCCCGCGGACCAGGGAAAUCCGGUCCGCACGAGGGCGAGGCUCCGGACGAAGCGACUGAGCGAAGCGAGUGAGCCCGAGGUCCCUAGAAAAACCCCUAGGCAGGCGCGUGCGCGCCCGUACCGCAAACCGACACAGGUGGGUGGGUAGAACAUACCGAGGCGAUCGGGUCAACCAUGGUCAAGGAACUCGGCACAAUGGCCCCGUAACUUCGGGAGAAGGGGUGCCCGCGCGUACGUGAACCGGCUUGCCCGGGGAGCGGAGGCGGGCCGCAGUGGAGAGGCCCAAGCGACUGUUUACCAAAAACACAGGACUCUGCAGAAGCCGCAAGGCGACGUAUAGGGUCUGACGCCUGCCCGGUGCCGGAAGGUCACGCGGAGGAGUUAGCCGCAAGGCGAAGCCCCGAAGCCAAGCCCCGGUAAACGGCGGCCGUAACUAUAACGGUCCUAAGGUAGCGAAAUUCCUUGUCGGGUAAGUUCCGACCUGCACGAAAGGCGCAACGACUUGGGCGCUGUCUCGACCAUGGACCCGGUGAAAUUGCACUGGUCGUGAAGAUGCGACUUACCCGCGGAAGGACGGAAAGACCCCGUGAACCUUCACUGCAGCUUGGCAUUGGCCGCUGGUCCCGCGUGUAGAGGAUAGGCAGGAGGCACAGAUCCGGAGGCGCCAGCCCCCGGGGAGCCGCCCUUGGAAUACUGCCCUCGCGCGACCGGCGUCCUAACCCGAGGCCGUCAACCGGCUCGGGGACCGUGCCAGGCGGGCAGUUUGACUGGGGCGGUCGCCUCCUAAAGGGUAACGGAGGCGCGCGAAGGUCCGCUCGGGACGGUCGGCAACCGUCCUUUUGAAUGCAAGAGUACAAGCGGGCUUGACUGCGAGGCCCACAAGCCGAGCAGGUGCGAAAGCAGGCUCUAGUGAUCCGGCGGCCCCGAGUGGGUGGGCCGUCGCUCAACGGAUAAAAGGUACUCCGGGGAUAACAGG